CAGGCGGGCUGCCUUACACAUGCAGUCGAACGGCAGCACAACCUAGCUUGCUAGGUGGGUGGCGAGUGGCGAACGGGUGAGUAACGCGUAGGGAUCUGCCCUAAAGUGGGGGACAACCCGGGGAAACUCGGGCUAAUACCGCAUAAUCUCUUCGGAGUAAAGCUGGGGACCUUCGGGCCUGGCGCUUUAGGAUGAACCUGCGUCCGAUUAGCUAGUUGGUAGGGUAAAGGCCUACCAAGGCGACGAUCGGUAGCUGUUCUGAGAGGAAGAUCAGCCACACUGGGACUGAGACACGGCCCAGACUCCUACGGGAGGCAGCAGUGGGGAAUAUUGGACAAUGGGGGCAACCCUGAUCCAGCAAUGCCGCGUGUGUGAAGAAGGCCUGAGGGUUGUAAAGCACUUUCGUUGGGGAGGAAAGACUCGGUACUAAUACUAUCGAGGGAUGACGCUACCCAAAUAAGAAGCACCGGCUAACUCUGUGCCAGCAGCCGCGGUAAUACAGAGGGUGCAAGCGUUAAUCGGAAUUACUGGGCGUAAAGCGCGCGUAGGUUGGUAAGUAUGUUGGCUGUGAAAUCCCCGAGCUCAACUUGGGACGGUCAGCCAAAACUGCUUAUCUAGAGUAUGGUAGAGGAAAGUGGAAUUUCAGGUGU
This 650-nucleotide ribosomal RNA is filed under the name uncultured bacterium. Its description in RNAcentral is "bacterial SSU rRNA". It matches the Rfam family "Bacterial small subunit ribosomal RNA", at positions 36 to 676 of the family's 1533-position model. The record is from RNAcentral.